UCAGAAACAUUCCAUCAGUCAUCACCUAACAGUUCUGAGUGCUACAUGAAGAGCUAAGUAAACAUUUUUAGGAUAAAAAAAUUAAUACAUGUUUCAUUUUCAAAAAGUACUUGUGUAGUUGAAUCUACUUGCAAGAGAAUUUUCUAGACAAACUCUGCCUGAAAUCAGCUGGCCACACUGCAGUCUGAGGGCUCAGAACAACCAGUUUUUGUGCCUUUCACCUUCUCCUUACUUCUGUUCUAGGCUGGGCUGACCUCACCCGGUUAAACGAUCACUCAGAUGGAGGCCUGGCAAUGGGACUCCUAUCAGACCCUGCAAGCCUGCCAGGUCUCCAGCAUUUAAGAGAUGAUCCAGCUCACAACACUUGGGUUUAGAAGCUCCUGCAGAUGGUGGGAAAAGUGAAGAGUACAUCCACUUGAAAGAGAAUUCAUUUGGGCUGACUUCUUGGACCUGGGAGACUUCUCUGAGUCCAUUUGCAAAACCCUUCAGAAGAUCCAAGAAAGAGAUUGGCCUCAAGAAGAAAACUUGAACAUAAAAUAAUUACAAACUUUUUCUCAAAGUGCAAUUGGCAAUUUUGUAUCCCUCUUUUGGACUCUAUUCAGAUUCUACCCUAGAUUCCUCCCUCUGGGUUGGAGAAGUAAGUGCUCUUGAGAGGACUGGCAAAAGUUUCACCUCCAGAAGCAGCAGAUGUGCUGUUUUCCAGGGAACAAUUCUACUUUGGUAAGUUCCUGUGACUGACCAUUCCAGGUCUGUUCUCACCCACCUAUCCUCUGGAGGCUCAUUUUGAUCAUAGGCAGACGUAGGAGCAGUAGAUAUGACUGUGGCACUGAAAGGGGUAUAUUUUGGGUAUUAGACCCGAGUCUCCUAAGUGUAGUGGUCAAUCUGUGCCAGAGAGAGAGGAGCCUGGGGCUGGUCCUGUGCAAAUGGGCAGUGGGGUCAUUUUCAAUGGACCUAGGCAAUAUCUUUCUCCUCUAUGAUUUACAUGAGUUCCACAUUGUAUUUCUGAGCAUUGAGUUUUUGGAUUUGAUAUUGAAAACAUAUAGUCAGUUGGUGUCAGGGCAAGGCAGAAGAACUAAAGUCAUGAAGUUUCCUAGUGUUCUUCAUAAUCCUCAUUUAACCCAGGCUUUUACCUCUCUUAUUCUCUUCUCCAGUGGAUAAAUUAGAGUCCCCAGUUCAUUGUAAAUUCUCAGCUAUGAUAUCAAUUCCUCAUGCUGUGUGACACUUUAGUUCAACUUUAGCAUGUAAAGUUUUAACAAACAAACCAUCCCAUCAACAUCCAGGUAUUUCAGGCAUUUGGCACCACUGCAUGUGGAUACUGCUCACUUUGUGUGUGUGUGCACAUGCACAUGAAUCUCAUGAAUUAAGUUCUUUAUUCCCUCUUAUAUAGGUGCUUUACUCAAAUAUUCAGACACAAUUUCUUUCCAUUUCCACUGAAAAUAGAAAGUAGAAGUUAUCUUUAUAAAUAAUGCUUUUCAUUUCUCUAACUUUCAACUAUCUGCCACUGUGUACACAUUUCACGUGUAAAAUUCCUUUCUUCCCCAACUAGACUAUAGGCACAAAAAUGGUCCUUUUUUAUUUCAUUUCACCUGAGUUAAUAGCACAUUGUGGACCCCACACAAACACUGUGGAUAAGGGUGGGUGAGAAAGUGAGUGAUGGUCAGUUCCCAGCCACAUCUGUCCACUCAUGCGGAUAAGCAAGGAAUAGUAGCUUAUGCUUUUGUUGUUUAAUCCUAAUCCACUUCCUCAAGAUCCAAGAUCCAGAGAGGGACUCACAUCCCUGUAGUACAGAAGUAAAAAUUAGCUUUUAGUCUUCUAUGGUAUUAUCUCUGCUGUCAGUGUCCUUAUUUUCCUGUGUGUAAUUAUACUUCUCAUAGUUGCUUCAGGUAGCCUGAACAGUUGAUCAACAUUUCAAGCAUUCAGGGGCUCCUGAGUUCAGGACAACUGCACUUGCAAUUGUCUGGAAAGCCUGUUUCACCUGCACAACACACACAGCUAAGGCCAUGCUGCCCAGAGAAAGGCUAUGAGGCCUCCCUUCCCUUUUGCCCAAAGUGAAAAUGAGCUGGCUCCACUCUGCUUUUUGAAGUUUGGGUAGGGGAUCAAGUUUCAAGUACAACAGAGAUUGCAGGGAAAGGCUCAGGUAAAUCUAAAUAAUCCUUAGCAGUUCCUCUACCUGAUGCUAAUAGUAUUUUCACUCAUCUAUAGAAGAAAUUACUUUGCUUAGCUCUUAAAUAUUUUAAGACUUCCCUCUACAGCUAUACCUCUCACUCUCUGCCCUUCUUAGAGCAGGAGAAGGGGCCAAUAUUAAAUGUGAUGUGCAGAAUAGUUCUUACAAGCCUAGGUGUUGUCCUUGAGCAUGUGGCCUUCUAAUUCUUGGGAUUGGAAGAUAUCAAGAGGGAACCCAGCAUAUGGGGGUGGGGGGAUUUGUUAUGACUGUUCUGGAGUCUCAGCAAAUCUCCAUUUUUGGAUGUUCUUUAGUUCUCCAAAGGGGAAACCAUAAUUAUAAAGGUGUGUCAGGUUCAACCCUCACCAGUUAGACAUGAAUAAGUAGGUCCUUUAAGAUAUUUAGUAGGUCCAACAGACAUGUGUCACCUGCAAUUCUGGGCUCCAAGAGUGAGAGGAGACUCGCUGGAUAUAUCUUUUAUAUGCAUCCAUAUUCUUUCUACACAAAUAGUUUUGGUCACAAAUUUGCCGUCACAUUACAUUACUACCCUUUGAUUGAGAUAUAUACAAUAUCUACUAGGAAGGACAGGACCCAGGUGAAGAGUGAGAUUAGCCACAUAUAUGUCUGAGGUUAUCGGGUAUUUGAAAGGAUUUUCCUGAGGGUCUCACACAUCAGAUGAAAAGGAUUAUUAUGGGAAAUGCAUCUUUAUUUUCAUAUAAUAAACUCUACCAUUGAAUUUGCUACUGUGCAUGACCAUUAUUUUAGUAAAAAUAAAUCUAUGAAAGACAAUUUAAAUGAGGUUACACACGAGGCAAUCACUGAAGUGAAGUGAUUGAGCAUUAAAUUUGGUCUUAAAGAGGUUGGUAAAGAUAAAAGAAGAGCCUGAGCCAAGGCGAAUUUUAUAUCUAGUCUAGAAGUCCUGGCAAUGCCCACAUUUACAAAGGCAAGAGAUACCUGCCUGGCUAUAACCUGGGACAGAGUUUGAGGUUCUGUUUUACCUUAACCUCAAAUCCCAGUCUGGGGUACUAACUUUUUGUCCUUUCUUCUUCUGACUUCUAGUGCCCUCUACUGCUCACAGCUAUUGAAUCAGUCUUCUUCCUCUACAACCCCUAACUAAUACAAAGCCUUUUGAUUUGACCUCCAGUUUUGACAAGUUUUUUUAAAAUACCCAAGAUAGAAAGCAGUACCCUCAUCAUUUUGAUUCUAUUGCAUCUGGAGGAGGGGGACAUUCAGGACAGUUUCUGCAGUCAGUGAUGCAUUGAGAGACAUUCAGAAUGCCCCACUGAAUGACAGGAGAGAGUGAGGCAGAGACGUCCAGUUUUAUCAAUGCCCUGAGGGUUGUGGUAAAAGAAAAAGAAGAUGUAAUUGCCACUGAGACAGUGGAUAUAACCAUGGGAGAAUUCCAUAUGAACACCCAAAGUUUCCUAAUGUGAUAAUAUGGGAAAUGGCUGGGACUGGAACACUAACUUCCAAGCACAAAAGUAGCCAAAAAAAUUACAUUUGGUGAAUAUGACUUUUUCCUUUUCAUCUCUACCAUACGCUUUAGAGGAAAUGAUGCACAACUGGCUAAAAUCAUUGCAAAAAUGAAGAUUUUCUACAUUGUUUGAACAAAAAUUCACAGGGACAUAUACAAUGAGAAGGUCAUAUACAAUGUCCUUCCAUCAGAACAAGUUCCUACAAGAGAUCUGAGAUGGGGCUGGGGAUGUGGCUCAAGCGGUAGCGCGCUCGCCUGGCAUGCAUGCAGCCCGGGUUCGAUCCUCAGCACCACAUACAAACAAUGAUGUUGUAUCUGCCGAAAACUAAAAAAUAAAUAUUAAAAAAUUCUCUCUCUCUCUUUAAAAAAAGAAAAAAGAGAUCUGAGAUGACUGAUACAGAUGCAAAAGGAUAAUGUGAAUGGUGCUCGAGUCUUCUUAGUCUCCAGCAUUCAUGUGUCUGACUAUGACUUCCCCCAAGCUGGAGACCUCCCUUUUGAGAGAGCUUCCAACUCACGACGUCACUUCUUGCAAUGCCUGCAUAGUGUUACUGAGGCCACCAUUGACCUGAAAAGGGAGUCCCUGAAACAGAAUUCGUGACUGGAAACUUCAAACACUGGAGCAUCAGCCACCACCCCUUUUGUGGGAAUCAUCAGUAAUAAUGAUGGAGAAGCUGGAGGAGACCUUAAUUCUCUACAGGUCUUACUUUGGGCUGGAUGAUGCAUCACUGGAAAAACACAGCCAAGGGUGUGGUGUGCAUGUGUCAGGACAAGAAUUUAAAGCAAACACUGUGUUGAGGGGAGAGUCUUUAGAGGAAAAAUGUUUAAGUGUAUUGAAAAAGUUUAUUGUCAUGUAUAUCUAAAAAUAACAAAUUUAAAAAGUGAAAAAUCUGUACACAAAUCAAUUGGGACUGAAUGGAUUAGCUUCUCUUUCAGGUCAUUCAUUUUCCUGAAAUAUUUGGCAAUAGUUUAAAGACUGCCGCUUACUGAUAAGAAAGCUAGCAUAGCAAUUCAGAGUCCUCAUUGUACAAGGCUCAAUAAUCUAGCAAACCCUGUACAUGAUGUUUAGUACCAAGUGUAUGAGUUCUGAGAUAUAAAUACAUGAACUUGGAUCUCAACUCUGCUAACUAGCUAAGUGAUGUUACCUAAAAUAAUUCUCUAAUUCUUUUUAUCUCUGUAUUAAUGGGACUAUCAGAUUCUAAUUGAGUUAUUUGGAAAAUAAUCAAGAUAAUAAAUGGCAUGCCUUAACCAAAAAAAAAAAAAUCUAUCAUCGAGAAAGUUUGCUCAAUCACUAGAUGACUCAUUGCCAUUAGACUUGACUUUAGAAAGACCUUCUGUUUGAAAAAUUGUUUCCUUGGUACCAUGGCAAGAGAUGCCAAAUUUCUUCUUUAAAAAAGAAGAGAUUUCCACCAGGCAUAGUGAUACAUGCCUAUAAUCUCAGGAACUUGGGAGUCUGAAGCAGAAGGAUUACACCUUCAAGGUCAGCACUAGCAAUUGGCAAGACCCACAACAACUUAAUGAGAUCCUAUCUCAAAAACAAACAAAAAAAAAGCAAAAAAGGACUUGGGAAUGUAGCUCUUUGGUAAAGCACCUCUGGGUUCAAUCCCCAGUGUCAAAAAGAAGAGCUUUUCACAGAAGAGGUGGGCUCCAUGCAGGUUUAACACCAUUGGUUAUUGAAGGAAAGUGGGAACAGUGAGGCACCUGAUGGUCCCUCAUCAUGUGCCCAUCUCAUGGUACUUUUCUCUUCUUCCUGACCUUAUCAUACUAUUUGACAAGACUUUAAAACUUAGAAAUGAGUAAGACAUCAAGUCAGAAGUGAAAAAGAAUAUGUAGACCUGAGAGAAAGCUUUCAUUUCAUUGAUUGUAACACAGAUGAGUGUCUGGCCAAAAGUAUAGUCUGUGAAUUUUCCAGAUUGGGACUUGGAAGUUAUGUGUGUACCUUUAACCACUGAUUCAGGUGACUGUAUACAUGGGUAUGCCUUGUGAUGGAAAGUUGCAAUGACUUGCAGAUUUCUAAAAAGAGACACCCCCUCCAAGUCCAUUGGUUCACCCUUUGGGUCCUGCACACACUGUUUGUGCCAGAGACUCUCCCCAAACCCCUCCACUUCUUUAUCCCCAUCUCUCAAGCCUGAGCUAGAGGACGAAUCACCAGGGCAGCCUUCCCUGGCAUCAACCACCAGUCCUGAAAGAAGAAGCAAAUGACCACUAUGAAGCUCCCUGUCAUUGCUCCUAUAGCUUCCUCUAUAGACCAUUUAGACCAUUAGACCAUUUCUUUCUACCACCACUUAUCUGCAAUUCUUCAUUAAUAUCUGUCUUCCUCACUAGGCUUCUUUACUCACUCAAAUCUUGCUUUCUUAACUACUCUCUCCCCUUCACUAACUUGGCACCUCAAACACAGUAGUUCAAGAAAUAUUCACUCACAGACAGCUAAAAUUUUGACAAUGUGAUUUUCAUUUUCAUCAUUUCCAUAUAUUUGCUCCAUGACUGUGAGUGGUCUGUGCUUCCUCAGGGAUGCUAAGUUCUCUCAUCUAUAAAAUGGGUACAUAUGUGGCCUCUAGGGUUAAGGAGCACAGUAAUAUGAUGGCCUAGGUGACUCUGAGCUGUACACUCUCAAGGGAGCCAUAAUAUCCCUGUAAACAGGGCUACACUUCCUGAAGAGUGGUCGAAAGGAUUUCAGAGCAAGGUAUCUAUUUGAAAUCUCCCAGACUCCAAAUUAGAGCAAAGUCAUUUUCUCUUUAUGAAGAUAGAAUGAUUCCAAGCACAGUCCAUUUAGUUGCAUGUAACAGUCACCCAAAGGCUUCUCUCAAACCUUCCUAUCUGCUGUCUUUCUUGACAAUCUGCUCAAUAGAAGUAAGUAUAGUGUAAUCUCACUGCAAAAAAAAAUAAAAAGUGUUUCCUUAAAAGUUUACUCUUUCAGGGGCUGGGGUUGUGGCUCAGCGGUAGAGCACUCGCCUAGCAUGGGUGAGGCCCUGGGUUCGAUCCUCAGCACCACAUAAAAGUAAAUUAAUUAAUUAAAGGUAUUGUAUACAACUACAACUAAAAAAUAAAUAUUAAAAAAAAAAGUUUAUCCAUUCAGCCAGAUGCAGUGGUACAUGCUUGUAAUACCAACAGUCUGAGAAAUAUGACAUUCACAAGUUCAAAGCCAGCCUCACCAACUUAGCAAGACCCUGUCUCAAAAAAAUAUAUAUAAAAAGGGGCUAGAGAUGUGGCUCUGUGGUUAAGUGCCCUAAAUUCAAUCCCUGGUACCAAAAAAAGAAAAAAAGUUUAACCAUUCAUAUUCAAACUGAUACUCAUCAGGGGAUUAUUUCUAAUUCUAAGUUUUUAUUCAGUUACUGAGAUUUUACCUUCUAGUAGGACAGAUAGUUUAAAAAAUAGCUAAACAACACAUACGUUAUUUUUUAAGGAAACUGUGUUAUGAUUAUUUUUUUCCAACCUUAUAUUUUACUUAGUUCCUGGAACCAAUCUCAAACACUAAUUUGUUGAAUUAUCACUCUAGCUUUGUAUUCUUUCCAGGAAGAGAAAAUGUUCAAUGUAGGCUCCAAAGGGUUUUGAUGUAACUCUAGGAGAAAAAAAAUACAUAAGGUACUUCACUAAUGGCCAGUGCACUGUGUGGAUAUAAGGCCUUAGGAAUAGUGAUACCCCAAAUCUGUCCUGUUUUCCUCCUGCCUACACUCAGUGGAAAAGAGCAAUUUUACAAUAUAGAAAGAACCAGAGCACAGAAAACAGCUCAUCCCCAUCACUCCAUCCAGAUUGAUGUACAACAGGCAUCUUAGAAUAGGGGAAGAGAUAUCAGUUACCCUUGGCAACAGUGAUGGAGUACACACAAUAAGGAAGGAAGAUCAAGAAAUGGAAAUUCACAUGGAGUAUCCUGUCCAUACUGCCUUUCAAAGCAAAUGGAAGACCAUUCUCUGGUCCUGCAGAUAUCCAAGCUUUCUCUCCCUGUCCUUUAGGGAUGUGUAUUCAAACAUAAAUCAGCCUUUUCUAGGCAACACUGCAAAACAAGAAAAAAUCUCACUUGCCAAAUGCAACUAUCCCAUUGCUAAUGUCACUGGGGCCUAUUCCACUCUUUCACUUUGCUCUUAAGUUCUCUACCAUUCCACCAAAUCUCAUAGCCAAUGCAAGAUCCAUAACCAAGACAAUGAGCAGCAGUAGGGCAGUACAGACUGCAGGGCAGGUAGGAUACUGGAGGGCAUCUACUCCGAGAAUACAACUAUAAGCAAUUAUUCCCUGACCAUGACCAUCACCUCCCAGCUCCACAGCACUCUGCCCAAAGUCACUCAACAUGAGAAGUUCUAGAGUGUGAUGCUGGGCAGAAAAUUUUACUUCCUCAGGCACUCUCCCUAGUUGGGGAAACAACUGGGUAUGUUACUUCUACAAUAAGGUACUGAUAAGCAUAGCUUUGUCAUGCUAAGAUCUACCCUACCCUGCACCCCACUGUCUCCAGGAAUCCCUGUCAGUGAUACAACCCUCCCCAGGACAUGUAGUUCACAGGGAGGCCUACAUUUAACUUGCCUAUAGCCCACCCUCUGGAGGGCUGUGUGGUUUCCAACUGCCCUACUGUCCUCAGAGUCUCCAGCUUUCCACCUUCACAGGUGUUGGGUUAAACAUUAAUCAGUGCCUAGGAAAGCUUGUAGUGAGAUAAAGUCUCUAAAAGAAAGUGGUGAUGAGAAAAAUGGAGAGCAUGAACUGGCCACUUCCCUUAUCUACAAUAUUUAGGAGAGACUCAAAGCAGAGUGACCCCAGUUGUAAAGGAAUGUAUUUAUAAAAUAUCUGGAGAAAUCCACCUGUGUACUUUGCAUGCAACCUCUCCCAUAUAUUCCCCCUCUUGGUAGACAUGAGGGAGUCCUCCAUCGUAUCCUGGCUCACCACCAUUGAGGAGUGAAUAAGUAAUAAAAUGUCCAAAACCUGUCCACUGAGUCCUCCAAGUUCUUUCUUUGGGUUUGGAAAACAGCACACCAGGGCAUUUGCAGCACCGGGGUUGAACAACAGGUAUGUUAUGAAUGUUCCUACUGUGCCAUCUGAAGAGCUAGUCAUAUUUUUAAUUUCUAGAACUCUUACUCCAUAGGGGACAAACCUGAAUAGUUUUCCAACUCUCUUCUUUUUUCCAUAAAAGAAUAUGUGUC
RNAcentral lists this long non-coding RNA (8755 nucleotides) under Marmota monax (woodchuck). The stretch from base 6555 to 6623 matches the Rfam family "tRNA". The record is from RNAcentral. Lineage: Eukaryota; Metazoa; Chordata; Mammalia; Rodentia; Sciuridae.